AGAGUUUGAUCCUGGCUCAGAACGAACGCUGGCGGCAGGCUUAACACAUGCAAGUCGAACGCCCCGCAAGGGGAGUGGCAGACGGGUGAGUAACGCGUGGGAACAUACCCUUUCCUGCGGAAUAGCUCCGGGAAACUGGAAUUAAUACCGCAUACGCCCUACGGGGGAAAGAUUUAUCGGGGAAGGAUUGGCCCGCGUUGGAUUAGCUAGUUGGUGGGGUAAAGGCCUACCAAGGCGACGAUCCAUAGCUGGUCUGAGAGGAUGAUCAGCCACAUUGGGACUGAGACACGGCCCAAACUCCUACGGGAGGCAGCAGUGGGGAAUAUUGGACAAUGGGCGCAAGCCUGAUCCAGCCAUGCCGCGUGAGUGAUGAAGGCCUUAGGGUUGUAAAGCUCUUUCACCGGAGAAGAUAAUGACGGUAUCCGGAGAAGAAGCCCCGGCUAACUUCGUGCCAGCAGCCGCGGUAAUACGAAGGGGGCUAGCGUUGUUCGGAAUUACUGGGCGUAAAGCGCACGUAGGCGGAUAUUUAAGUCAGGGGUGAAAUCCCAGAGCUCAACUCUGGAACUGCCUUUGAUACUGGGUAUCUUGAGUAUGGAAGAGGUAAGUGGAAUUCCGAGUGUAGAGGUGAAAUUCGUAGAUAUUCGGAGGAACACCAGUGGCGAAGGCGGCUUACUGGUCCAUUACUGACGCUGAGGUGCGAA
This 701-nucleotide ribosomal RNA is filed under the name uncultured Rhizobiaceae bacterium. Its description in RNAcentral is "bacterial SSU rRNA". It matches the Rfam family "Bacterial small subunit ribosomal RNA", at positions 8 to 757 of the family's 1533-position model. Lineage: Bacteria; Pseudomonadati; Pseudomonadota; Alphaproteobacteria; Hyphomicrobiales; Rhizobiaceae. The record is from RNAcentral.